UACGAAGGGUGCAAGCGUUACUCGGAAUUACUGGGCGUAAAGGGUGCGUAGGUGGUUUGUUAAGUCUGCUGUGAAAUCCCCGGGCUCAACCUGGGAAUGGCAGUGGAUACUGGCAAGCUAGAGUGCGGUAGAGGGUAGUGGAAUUCCCGGUGUAGCAGUGAAAUGCGUAGAGAUCGGGAGGAACACCAGUGGCGAAGGCGGCUACCUGGACCAGCACUGACACUGAAGCACGAAAGCGUGGGAAGCAAACAGG
This 253-nucleotide ribosomal RNA is filed under the name uncultured bacterium. Its description in RNAcentral is "partial 16S ribosomal RNA". It matches the Rfam family "Bacterial small subunit ribosomal RNA", at positions 524 to 776 of the family's 1533-position model. The record is from RNAcentral.